Molecule: non-coding RNA, 90 nt
Filed under: Otolemur garnettii (small-eared galago)
Lineage: Eukaryota; Metazoa; Chordata; Mammalia; Primates; Galagidae
Source: RNAcentral
GGCUGGUCUGAAUGCAGCUAAUUGAUCAUAACCAGUUAUAGAUAACAUUUUUCCUUCUCUAUUCCCACUGCUUCACUUGAUUACUCUAAA